Molecule: ribosomal RNA, 478 nt
Filed under: uncultured bacterium
Lineage: Bacteria
Description: bacterial SSU rRNA
Rfam family: Bacterial small subunit ribosomal RNA
Source: RNAcentral
GACGAACGCUGGCGGCGUGCUUAACACAUGCAAGUCGAACGAGAAUCUGCGGAAAGAGGAUUCGUCCAAUUGAAACAGAGGACAGUGGCGGACGGGUGAGUAACGCGUGAGGAACCUGCCUUUCAGAGGGGGACAACAGUUGGAAACGACUGCUAAUACCGCAUGACACAUUGAGGUCGCAUGGCCUUAAUGUCAAAGAUUUAUCGCUGAAAGAUGGCCUCGCGUCUGAUUAGCUAGUUGGUGAGGUAACGGCCCACCAAGGCGACGAUCGGUAGCCGGACUGAGAGGUUGAACGGCCACAUUGGGACUGAGACACGGCCCAGACUCCUACGGGAGGCAGCAGUGGGGAAUAUUGCACAAUGGGGGAAACCCUGAUGCAGCGACGCCGCGUGGAGGAAGAAGGUCUUCGGAUUGUAAACUCCUGUUGUUGAGGAAGAUAAUGACGGUACUCAACAAGGAAGUGACGGCUAACUACGUG